UACGGAGGGUGCAAACGUUGCUCGGAAUCAUUGGGCGUAAAGCGCACGUAGGCGGCUUCGCAAGUCGGAUGUGAAAUCCCUCGGCUCAACCGAGGACGUGCACCCGAAACUGCGAAGCUUGAGUACUGAAGAGGAUCGCGGAAUUCCCGGUGUAGAGGUGAAAUUCGUAGAUAUCGGGAGGAACACCAGUGGCGAAGGCGGCGAUCUGGGCAGAUACUGACGCUGAGGUGCGAAAGCGUGGGGAGCAAACAGG
RNAcentral lists this ribosomal RNA (253 nucleotides) under uncultured bacterium. RNAcentral describes it as "partial 16S ribosomal RNA". It matches the Rfam family "Bacterial small subunit ribosomal RNA", at positions 524 to 776 of the family's 1533-position model. The record is from RNAcentral.